Molecule: non-coding RNA, 30 nt
Filed under: Mus musculus (house mouse)
Lineage: Eukaryota; Metazoa; Chordata; Mammalia; Rodentia; Muridae
Source: RNAcentral
CNGGAGGAAUGACUAGAUAGGAUUUAAGGA